Small nucleolar RNA from Eublepharis macularius, 137 nucleotides. RefSeq annotates it as small nucleolar RNA SNORA9. The transcript has a single exon. Lineage: Eukaryota; Metazoa; Chordata; Lepidosauria; Squamata; Eublepharidae. The record is from RefSeq and is a predicted model, not a curated record.
UCGCAAGCCGUCCAGCGUGGCCUGGGUCUGCUCUGUGGCCCGGUUCACUCCUGUUGUGCUUGCAAGAGCAAGCACGAGAUGGUUUGAGGCCUCGCUCUGCUCCAGCCAGAGUGAGGUUAUAGAAAUCUCAGCCAGGC